This 501-nucleotide ribosomal RNA is filed under the name uncultured bacterium. Its description in RNAcentral is "partial 16S ribosomal RNA". It matches the Rfam family "Bacterial small subunit ribosomal RNA", at positions 30 to 523 of the family's 1533-position model. The record is from RNAcentral.
AUUGAACGCUGGCGGCAGGCUUAACACAUGCAAGUCGAGCGGGGGAAGGUAGCUUGCUACCGGACCUAGCGGCGGACGGGUGAGUAAUGCUUAGGAAUCUGCCUAUUAGUGGGGGACAACAUCUCGAAAGGGAUGCUAAUACCGCAUACGUCCUACGGGAGAAAGCAGGGGAUCUUCGGACCUUGCGCUAAUAGAUGAGCCUAAGUCGGAUUAGCUAGUGGGUGGGGUAAAGGCCUACCAAGGCGACGAUCUGUAGCGGGUCUGAGAGGAUGGUCCGCCACACUGGGACUUAGACACGGCCCGGACUCCUACGGGAGGCAGCAGUGGGGAAUAUUGGGCAAUGGGGGGAACCCUGAUCCAGCCAUGCCGCGUGUGUGAAGAAGGCCUUAUGGUUGUAAAGCACUUUAAGCGAGGAGGAGGCUACUUUAGUUAAUACCUAGAGAUAGUGGGCGUUACUCGCAGAAUAAGCACCGGCUAACUCUGUGCCAGCCGCCGCCGUAA